UACAGAGGGUGCAAGCGUUGUUCGGAAUUAUUGGGCGUAAAGGGCGCGUAGGCGGCGGAGUAAGUUGGGUGUGAAAUCCCGGGGCUUAACCUCGGAAUUGCAUUCAAUACUGCUUCGCUUGAGUACUGGAGAGGAGGCUGGAAUUUACGGUGUAGCAGUGAAAUGCGUAGAUAUCGUAAGGAAGGCCGGUGGCGAAAGCGAGCCUCUGGACAGUUACUGACGCUGAUGCACGAAGGCCAGGGGAGCAAACGGG
Molecule: ribosomal RNA, 253 nt
Filed under: uncultured bacterium
Lineage: Bacteria
Description: partial 16S ribosomal RNA
Rfam family: Bacterial small subunit ribosomal RNA
Source: RNAcentral